Oxyura jamaicensis (ruddy duck) is the source of this 4370-nucleotide long non-coding RNA. RefSeq lists it as uncharacterized. The transcript is spliced from 10 exons. The record is from RefSeq and is a predicted model, not a curated record. Lineage: Eukaryota; Metazoa; Chordata; Aves; Anseriformes; Anatidae.
AGAAGUGUGAGACCCAACAGGGCUGCCCUGGAGCAGUUCGUCCAUGAGCGGUAACCCUGAGGGUCCCCUGGUACGGGGGUCUGCAGUGCCCCUGGCCUGACCACUCCAGCGUGUUUCAGGCCGCCUGCCCCAACCGUCUCUGGCUUAGGGCCAGAAGAGGGGGGAAAAAUAUCUCACAGAGUGAGCACAUGGCCUCCUGAGCGGUAGUCUUGGCUCUCAGCGGUGGGUUUUGAACUUGAUUACAGCUGGAGGAAUUCUAAACAAUCCAAGUCUCCUUGUCAUGGUGUUUAAGUGCAUUGUGCUCCUGUCUGAACAGAGGAAAUCACUGAGAACCCACGUCUAGUAACAGACACAGCAAAAGCUAUCGUCCUCUUGCCUGCUGCAAAGGGGACUUUCGGUCUCUACAAGCCCAAGGCUGACGUUGUCCCACAGCUUUCUGCCACCUGAGCGUCUGGCUGAAAGUGAAGUCCCUUGUCCAGUUGCCCUUAGUGCACGUCAGAAAGAUGCUCCGCUUCUAAAGCUGUUCUGUCCUGGAAACACUAAGGGUUCUUCCACUUCAGAAGUGCAAUGGAGCUGCUUUGUCACAAGCUAGUGGAUGGUAGUAUUAUUUCUGCAUUCCUUAAAUUUCUUUCUUGAGACUGGGAACAUUGGUCUAACUUGGCAAAGAUUGUGUUCUGGGAAGAUUUGUUUCAUGUUCUGGUGCUUUCAGGAAGGUGUAGAAGGACUUAGAGUCGAUGUGUGUAUGGCAUUUGUAGGGGAGGAAAAGGCAACCUUAUGCCCUUGGACCCGUGAUUCCUUACCACCAGGAUCAGCCAGGUACUACAGCUGCCUGCCCAGCUGCUUUGUGAUUCUAGAGUGAAAUAAGGUGAUGCCUCUGCCCACUUUCUAGUUCCGAGGUGUGCGUGCACUACAAAACGCAGCUAGUUCUAGAAAUGAAUCUAUUUGCUGUUCUUUGCACAGAGGCCAAGGGCUGAACGAUGUUUUGAGGCUGAGCAUUCCUCCCCUGGAUGAUCGGAUGGAUACGCAGCAUGAUUUCCUUGUGGGCAGGAGAUGGAGAGCCCACAGCAAUGUUGUCCAUGCUGCAUUCACCCAUGGGUGUGUUGAUUUAACUCAUUGCUUUAGUAUUUGAAGUUCUAUUGCUUGAUUCACUUAUUGAUUACUUUUUUUUUCUUGGAAGACAUUUCUCUCACAUAUUAAAGCAUACCCAGGGUUCCAGUAGCCUCCUGUUCCUCCAUCAAGCUCAAACCUCGUUGCUGCUCCCGGUGUGCAGUUGGAAAUGGGCAGGCACCAUUUGUGACUGCCUGAAUAUCCUGAGUCACACGUUACCAGCUGGCAUCUGUGCUGCAGUUCCAUUUCUUCCUUUACGACUGCACUCCCUAGAGGAGGCUUCAACAAUUGCAGUUGUCAGCUGAAGCGUGUUGUGUGCUCCUGCCUGAGUCGCACAAUUGGUGGACAACCUCUGACUACGUCUGUGGGGUGAGCCGCCUGUGAUUUGUUACUGUACGUCUGGCGUUUCCAUGCCAGAAAAUGGAACAGGUGUAGCAAUAUUUAAAAUGCGUUUUCACUACAUUGGCCAGCCGAAUAUCUGCGUUGUGAAGAUGGCAAUGUGAUGUCUUCAUUGAAUAAUUGUUGGAGACAGGUGAUGAUUCUAGGAUUUAAUUCUGUUAAAUCCAGUUGCUUUGGCCUCUGUUCUUGCCUGUGCUUUGCACCUGCCACGGAGCCCCAGCAAACUUGGCAAGCAAGCCUUCGGCACUGUAGAGAAAACAACUGUCUGGAGCAGGCACCUCCUGCCUGGUGUCCUGGAUGCACCCCGAGCUCUCCGGCACUGUCUGCGGUCAGAACAGCGUGUUGCUGCAGGUCCGAUGCAAAAGAUGGAUAAAAUCUCGCCGGGUGUCUUUGCGGGCUCCUGAUUGCACCUUUCGCCUGCUGGUUUCAUGCCUGGUGAUUUUUACGGUGCCGAAAGGGAGGAAGGAGGUGACGGAACUGUGAAAAAUCGAGGCCGGGUCAUUCCUGCCAGACGAGGACAGAGUCCUGUAGCCAGUCAGAUGUGACGGAACGCGCCUGCUGAUGCUGCUGCCAGGAAGCUCGAGAGAAAUGCGACCGAACGGUAGCAGUGCGCAUGUGCCUCUGGAGAAAGGAGGCUAUCUAGGUCAAAGUCUACCGCAAGCAGUGACUGACACAGUCCCCAGCCGAAGUCAGGCAGGGCUGCCUGUACUCCUCGAAGAGCACCCUGCUGACCGCAGGGCGGUUUUUGCAGGAGCACCUUGGAAAGCUUGUGCUGACUUCUGUGGUCCCUGUGGCGAUCCCAGGGAGUAGGAGGAGAUCCAGAACUCUCUGAAACCCCAGAACCAGGAUUCUUUGAAAGCCAGGACAAGUAAUGAUGCGAGGCUUGGCUGAGGCUGACCGCUAGCCUGCCUCUUGCGCUCCUUUUAUACGUGUCCAGGGAGCAGCCUCCAGUUUAUACGAUUGCACUCUAGUAAACAAUUUUUCAUGCAGAUAUGGGCAGCAGAUGUUACUCAUGCCUGUGUGAACGCUUCGAUGUGUUUACGACGGGACAUUCCUCAGAUCCAGCCCUAUUAAACAAUGGACGUAGCCACCAGAAUGAAGUCCCACUGGUUAAAGCCCUUCUGUUACGGCUUGCUGCGAACACUUUGAAGGGUGGUCACGCCAUCCCUCUUCGGGCACUCGAGGGGAUUGACUCACAGAUAUGAGCAAAAUAAAAUUAGCUGGCUGAGGUGGCUGCGACCCCAGCUGUGUCCCCGCUGCCCAGGUCCCAGAAGGGGCCACCCCCGCUGCAGGGCUGGCUGUGCAAGGCAACUCCUAAGCUGCUGGAGCUGCAGCCCGUUCUCAGGGGCAUUAAUGUUUGUCUGGCUCCUCAGUGAAACAGGCCAGGAAGUUUAACCAGAAGAAAAAUGUACACUUUUUCAUCUGUUUGUUUAAUUUCUCAGAUGGCCUCACCCCGGAUCAGAGAAGCUCCGGUGCUGCUGCGAGGGCAGGGCAGGGGCAGGCAGGCAGAGGGAGGGAUGACCUUCCCUUCUGGGAGCAGCUAGCCUAACGUCAGGUUUGCUGUCUCACAGAACUAUGCCCUGUGGAUAUUUUGGGCGCUGGGCUGCCUUAAUUUUCUUGAGAGUGAAAGAUGAACAGUGCGUGCUUACGGCGUUUCUAAGUUGUGUCGUUUUUUUGAUUUAAAUCUACUUCAUGUGUUAUGUAGAAACGUGUAAAUUAUUAGGGAUAGGAAAAAUAAGAAUUGUAGGAAUGGAGACUAUGGACAUAUGAAGGCUAAAUGUGUUCCUUUUUGGUUUCCUUUUAAGACCUCAAAGCCAAAGCUCGUUAUCAAACUGUCUCUAGAGAGUGAAGUCUUUAAAGAGACCUUCUUUGUAUAUAAAUCAUGUACACAGCAAAGUACAAAAAUGGAGCCAAGGAAAGCCCCCCCCUCCCUGGAUGCAGUUGUCAACGACAGCGUUCUGAGCUCGGUGAGGACAGCUGUACCCUUGGUCAAGCAGAAGCUGCAAGGAGCACUGCCACCCCGGGAUCCGUCCUAAAUAACCUCUGUUUCUGCGAUCCGAGUCUUCCCCCAGCAUUUGAAUAUCAACUGCUUUAGAUGGUUAAUGUAAAACUGACAACACAGCGCUUCUAAGAAAGAGAAGAGUUGCUUCACCUUUCAUGUACGUACAACCCGCUGCCCUUUGUAUUUAGAUUUCUGGUGUCUGUGUGUGUGGAGCUGAUUUGUCCGUAAUUGUUUGCUUUCUCCGGAGCCUUUUGAAGAUUGUCUUCAAGCCAGUUCCUUAUAUUAAAAAUAAAUUCUUCCAAGCCACCAAUAAAAUGUCAGCCGUGAUUAAAGCCUGACUUCUCGUUCCGAGAGUUGUCUCCUGAGUGCCGUGAGGUCGCUCUGAGUCAGCGGCUGCCAGGACCGUUACUCCUGGGAGCGCGGGCAGAGCCUCCAGUUCACAGUCAUCGUCUGAACGCUUUCACUGCAUCUUAAAUUGCUUUGCAGCGUGCUGGAAGAAAUGCAAACUGCAGGGCCAGUUGGGCACAGAACUCCUCUUUCAGGCACCUCAAACCUUGGAAAAGUACCCUUGGUGUUAACGUGGAAGUCGGGUUUGUGGUAGGGAGAGUUUUACUUUGUACAUAUUAAAGAAUGAGGAGGGGGAAGCUAUGCUGGAGGCAUACGCUUUCAACCCUUUUCUGCUGAAAUAAAACUAAGGGAAGGGCUCUGUGUUUUGUGUGAUGUCCUGCAGAACAGAAAUAAAGCCUGACAGGGCUUUCAUGAUAUGGAAGCUUUAUUAUUAUUUUUAUUUUAAUUAUAAAAUAAUAUACAGGUAUUAAGGUUGCAAGUACAAGCCCUGAGAAGCUACGCAGUCCUAUUGUAA